UGGGGAAUAUUGGACAAUGGGCGCAAGCCUGAUCCAGCCAUGCCGCGUGAGUGAUGAAGGCCUUAGGGUUGUAAAGCUCUUUUGUCCGGGAAGAUAAUGACGGUACCGGAAGAAUAAGCCCCGGCUAACUUCGUGCCAGCAGCCGCGGUAAUACGAAGGGGGCUAGCGUUGUUCGGAAUCACUGGGCGUAAAGCGCACGUAGGCGGACCUUUAAGUCAGGGGUGAAAGCCUGGAGCUCAACUCCAGAACUGCCUUUGAUACUGGAGGUCUCGAGUGUGGAAGAGGUUGGUGGAACUGCGAGUGUAGAGGUGAAAUUCGUAGAUAUUCGCAAGAACACCAGUGGCGAAGGCGGCCAACUGGUCCAUUACUGACGCUGAGGUGCGAAAGCGUGGGGAGCAAACA
RNAcentral lists this ribosomal RNA (402 nucleotides) under uncultured prokaryote. Its description in RNAcentral is "bacterial SSU rRNA". It matches the Rfam family "Bacterial small subunit ribosomal RNA", at positions 355 to 774 of the family's 1533-position model. The record is from RNAcentral.